GAUGAAGAACGUAGCGAAAUGCGAUACGUAAUGUGAAUUGCAGAAUUCAGUGAAUCAUCGAGUCUUUGAACGCACAUUGCGCCCCCUGGUAUUCCGGGGGGCAUGCCUGUCCGAGCGUCAUUGCUGCCCUCAAGCACGGCUUGUGUGUUGGGCCUCCGUCCUCCUCCCGGGGGACGGGCCCGAAAGGCAGCGGCGGCACCGCGUCCGGUCCUCGAGCGUAUGGGGCUUCGUCACCCGCUCUUGUAGGCCCGGCCGGCGCUUGCCGACACAUCAAUCUUUUUUCCAGGUUGCCCUCGGAUCAGGUAGGGAUACCCGCUGAACUUAAGCAUAUCAAUAAGCGGAGGA
RNAcentral lists this unclassified non-coding RNA (345 nucleotides) under soil metagenome. RNAcentral describes it as "partial contains 5.8S ribosomal RNA, internal transcribed spacer 2, and large subunit ribosomal RNA". The stretch from base 1 to 120 matches the Rfam family "5.8S ribosomal RNA", at positions 35 to 154 of the family's 154-position model. The record is from RNAcentral.